GUUUUAGGUUUUAACUUUUUUUUUUUUGCUUUUUGCCACACUUAAAUGUUUUAGAUUAUCAGAUAAAUUGUAUUAAUAAAACAAAGUAAACCUGGCUAAAUACAAACUGCAGUUUUCAACUGAUUUUACUUUACGGGGGAAAGUUAUUCAAAACAGUCUGAUCCUAUGCAAAAAAGCAUUUGUCCCCUUCAACUUGACAGAUGUCAUCCACCAUUUGUGUUUACACCACUGUGGAUGAAUUUUGCCUACUUUACUUUGCAAAAUAUUUUUGUCAGUCGACAUUGGAGGGGCUGAAACCUGCUUAAGGCAGUACCUCAAUCCACUUUCAGACUUUGUCUGGGCCACUCCAAAAGUUUAAUUCAUUCAAUUUUUAUUUUAUUUUAUUUUAUUUUUUUACCUUUUAGACAUGAUGUGCUGAAUAAUGUGCUGUACUUUAGUGUUAUAUUGUGAAUUGAAAGCUGGACAUCCUGGACAUCAGGAUUUUCUGGUAGUCAGAAAAAUUCACGGUUUCAUCUUUUACAGCAAAAUCUUUUAUCCUACUUCAUGUUGUCAGAUAUGUGCUUAUCUGACAACAUGAUUGUUUCUGCAGCUUAGCCAGUAAUAGAAUCAGUUAAUUUGUGAACUGCUAUCCCGUCUUCCUGCAACAGGAUGCUGUGGAUAUCUUUUCCUCCCAUAAUAAAUGAAACUAUUACUUGAGAACUGAAUUUUCCAUUUACUCAGCUUGUCUUUUCUUAUAUAAAGUUUGCUUGAUAGUCAGAAACUUGUUGGUUUUACAAUAAAAGCUCAAUCAAUUUCCAUGGCAAAAUUUAGAAGUAAAAUUUUAAAACGUUAUAUGUAUGAUUAGCUAACGUCUAAAUGUUUCUUAAAUAGAAUAUUCAUAGAAUGUAUUCUUGAUUUCAUUUUUUAAAGUAAAUAUAAAGCCCAAAGAAUCCCAAGGAUGAAAACUGGGGGUAAUACUGAAUAUUAGAAAAGCUGAAUAUUUAUCAAUUAUGCAACAGAAAAUUAGUUUCUGAGAACAAUGUGACUCCUAAAAUAGAAACAAAGGCUAAUGCAGCUGCUAGUAAUCUUGAAAUACCUGUUCUGACAUUUUAUAGCCAUCGGGUUUGGAGUAAUGAACAAAUGGCAGGGCCUUUGGGCUGACCUGCUGGGCAAGUUUUGAUUUGUUUCAGCCUGCAUUAUAUGAUCCGCUCUACCCAGUUCUACUGGAAGUGUGGAAACCAUUACUGAAAGGAAGGCAGAAAAGGGUUAAAUGCUGCAAAGCUGUGAAGGAUUUUAUAAGGACGCAAAAAAACAAGGGUGGAGCUCCACUCUGCUUAUUUGCACAACACUUUUCAAACUCAAAGUGCUACAAGAAGCACUGCUAACAUAAAAAACAAAUAGGGGCAACUAUAAAGCAAAUCUAAGCUGGGAUGCAAGUAUCACAUGAAUUACCCUCACCAUUAGACAACUCAUGUGAAAGAGAGGUUUUAAGCUUUGUUUUAGAAGAAGAGGGGGUGUGAGUGAGCCCCCUAGACAGGAAGCUGAUUCCAGAGACAAGGGAGCAUUUAAAAUUAAAAGCUCUUGUUUUAGAAAUUCUGGGAACAACCAGCUUACCCGCAUACUGAGAAGGAGGGCUCUCUGUGGGACGAUAAAUGACAGGAUGUGGUUUGGCCAUUAAGAACUUACAGAGGAGUCAAUUGUUUGAACCUCGGUUAAAUUCCUGUUAGCUCAUUUAAAAAGUAACACUAUUUUUGUAGUUAUUUCUUUGAUUUGUUGGAAAGCAGCUGAUUUCCAGUCAGCAAUAUAGAGAACACUAAGCCUUACAAAACUAUUUAUAGGCCUGGAAAGUUUUAACAUUCUGACACAAUGAAAACAGAAAAAUGUCACAUACUGUACCUUAAAGAAGUAUCUCUGUCUUUCCACUUUACAGCUAAACGCAAUUGUGAAAGCCAUGGCCUCUCUGGAAUCUUUAAAGGUUGUCAGAAUCCCUGAGGAAGGAUUUAACUACAGACACAGAAAAAAACAUGGGCAAAUCAUAAUCAGCAAAUAAAUGGAGCAGCCCUGCAGAGCAUGAGAUACAAAAAGCUAUUUGCCAAUAAUCAAAAUGUCAAAUGAACAAUUAAGUGGUU
Molecule: long non-coding RNA, 2108 nt
Organism: Xiphophorus couchianus (Monterrey platyfish)
Lineage: Eukaryota; Metazoa; Chordata; Actinopteri; Cyprinodontiformes; Poeciliidae
Exons: 2
Source: RefSeq, a predicted model, not a curated record